GGUUGUAUAGUGUAGCGGUUAGCACGUGGGAUUUUGACUUCAUAUCAGAAUCAUGUUCUGCAAAGAACUUUCCCGAGUCCUGGGUUCGAGCCCCAGUACGACCU
Molecule: transfer RNA, 104 nt
Rfam family: tRNA
About the family: Transfer RNA (tRNA) molecules are approximately 80 nucleotides in length. Their secondary structure includes four short double-helical elements and three loops (D, anti-codon, and T loops).
Source: Rfam